CAUAUAUAAACCCCAGGGCUGGGGCCAGAGGAGCAGUUCCCUGUCAGCAGCUAAGGGGAAAGGAGCUCUCCUAGAGGAAGCUGAGUGAAGAGGCUUGAUGGCCCAUCUCCUGCUUCUGAAGGAUAUGCAUGAUGAG
Molecule: long non-coding RNA, 136 nt
Organism: Gavialis gangeticus (Gharial)
Lineage: Eukaryota; Metazoa; Chordata; Crocodylia; Gavialidae
Exons: 3
Source: RefSeq, a predicted model, not a curated record